AACGAACGCUGGCGGCAUGCCUAACACAUGCAAGUCGAACGAGACCUUCGGGUCUAGUGGCGCACGGGUGCGUAACGCGUGGGAACCUGCCCUUAGGUUCGGAAUAACUCCCCGAAAGGGGUGCUAAUACCGGAUAAUGUCUUCGGACCAAAGAUUUAUCGCCUUUGGAUGGGCCCGCGUUGGAUUAGCUAGUUGGUAGGGUAAAAGCCUACCAAGGCGACGAUCCAUAGCUGGUCUGAGAGGAUGAUCAGCCACACUGGGACUGAGACACGGCCCAGACUCCUACGGGAGGCAGCAGUGGGGAAUAUUGGACAAUGGGCGAAAGCCUGAUCCAGCAAUGCCGCGUGAGUGAUGAAGGCCUUAGGGUUGUAAAGUUCUUUUACCCGGGAUGAUAAUGACAGUACCGGGAGAAUAAGCUCCGGCUAACUCCGUG
This 433-nucleotide ribosomal RNA is filed under the name uncultured bacterium. RNAcentral's name for it is "partial 16S ribosomal RNA". It matches the Rfam family "Bacterial small subunit ribosomal RNA", at positions 29 to 507 of the family's 1533-position model. The record is from RNAcentral.